Molecule: long non-coding RNA, 464 nt
Organism: Xiphophorus couchianus (Monterrey platyfish)
Lineage: Eukaryota; Metazoa; Chordata; Actinopteri; Cyprinodontiformes; Poeciliidae
Exons: 3
Source: RefSeq, a predicted model, not a curated record
AGAGCAACUUCCUGUUUCACCAGAUGGAAACAAGAUGGAGGCGUCAGAUUUUAGUGUUGGAGGAUUUCUCUUUAGUCUUUGGCUGAAGACCAGGAGCCAUUUCUGAUGCUAACGCUAGGCUAGCAGGUUAGCUUUGGUUGUAUUUAUCCUCUUGGUGUCCAUAUUCAUCAAACCGCUCCAGAGUUUGGUGGAUGAAAAGCAGCUUCCUGUUUCCAGUUCGUCUCCCCAAGACUGUCAUCCGAACGGAAAAAAUCAAGAAGGAGAAAAGAGGAAAUCCUACCAGCUCACCAAAACCCGACUGAGUCCGAGGUUCGGUCCGAGAACUUCACAUCAGAACACCGAGCGGUUCGUCAUGUUCAAGUUCUAAACAGUGAUUCUCACCUGGUGCUCCGACUUCCUCUCUCAAUCUGAAAGUCGUUGCUGCUUCCAGACAAAAUGCCGAACCUCAGCAUGGAUCCGACCGA